Long non-coding RNA from Ostrea edulis (European flat oyster), 250 nucleotides. RefSeq lists it as uncharacterized. NCBI's taxonomy places the organism in Eukaryota, Metazoa, Mollusca, Bivalvia, Ostreida, Ostreidae. The record is from RefSeq and is a predicted model, not a curated record. The transcript is spliced from 2 exons.
AGGGUCUAAUGAUGAUGGAGAAAAACUCUCUGCAUUAUUGGGGGAUAUUUUUCUUUAAGUGAUACACUAUGACAUAUAUUUUAAGUGGAAAUGAACGUGGGGAAUUUUGCGAGUCUUUAUAUUAUAUUAUUGGAUAAUGCGAGGGGAACAUCCACCUCCCUUCCAGAGGAGGUCAUGAUUGCAGUGACAUGUUUUUGGGGAGGAAAGUUUAGCUGUUAGGGACUUUAUGAAAAGCCUCCAUCCUCCAAUG